GACGAACGCUGGCGGCGUGCUUAACACAUGCAAGUCGAACGGAAAGGCCCUGCUUUUGUGGGGUGCUCGAGUGGCGAACGGGUGAGUAACACGUGAGUAACCUGCCCUUGACUUUGGGAUAACUUCAGGAAACUGGGGCUAAUACCGGAUAGGAGCUCCUGCUGCAUGGUGGGGGUUGGAAAGUUUCGGCGGUUGGGGAUGGACUCGCGGCUUAUCAGCUUGUUGGUGGGGUAGUGGCUUACCAAGGCUUUGACGGGUAGCCGGCCUGAGAGGGUGACCGGCCACAUGGGGAAGGAGAUACGGCCCAGCCCCCUCCGGGGGGCAGCGGUGGGGAAUAUUGAAAAAGGGGCGGAGGCCUGAUGCAGCCCCGCCGCGGGGGGGAGGCGGGCCUUCGGUUUGAAACCCGCUUUCGCCGGGGAAGAAGGGGGGGGGACGGUAAUGGGUAAAGAAGCCCCGGCUAACUACGUG
RNAcentral lists this ribosomal RNA (468 nucleotides) under uncultured bacterium. RNAcentral describes it as "partial 16S ribosomal RNA". It matches the Rfam family "Bacterial small subunit ribosomal RNA", at positions 28 to 507 of the family's 1533-position model. The record is from RNAcentral.